This 302-nucleotide ribosomal RNA is filed under the name uncultured bacterium. RNAcentral describes it as "partial 16S ribosomal RNA". It matches the Rfam family "Bacterial small subunit ribosomal RNA", at positions 508 to 807 of the family's 1533-position model. The record is from RNAcentral.
GCAGUCGCCGCGGUAAUACGUAGGGUGCGAGCGUUAAUCGGAAUUACUGGGCGUAAAGCGUGCGCAGGCGGUUCGUUAAGACAGAUGUGAAAUCCCCGGGCUCAACCCUGGAAUGCCGGUGGAAACUGUCGAGCUCGAGUCCGGAAGAGGCAAGUGGAAUUCCUGGUGUAGCAGCGAAAUGCGUAGAGAUGUGGAGGAAUACCGAUGGCGAAGGCAGCCCCCUGGGCCAAUACUGACGCUCAUGCACGAAAGCUAGGGGAGCAAACAGGAUUAGAUACCCGCGUAGUCCCUGUCUCUUAUAC